GAUGUGCGCACGGGAAAAUUCGAGGAAAGGUCUGCAGUCGAGCAGCACGGAGCCAGCAGUGGAGAUCUGGUCCCGGGGCGUCCUGAGGAUGUGGAGCAGCUCGGUGCUGCUGAUAUUCAAAGCCAUGCUUAAGUUGUUGUCUGUCAUCCGCGUCUGAGCAGCACAACAGGAAGCCACAUUACGUCUAUUUCCUCUCAUCAUCCCUACCAUGCCGCCACCCUCCUCCCAUGGGUUACAUCAUUACCUUCAGCCUUAGUCACGCUCCCUACGGUUCAUUAAGCAAACCUGGCCACCUUGGCGUUUAACCUUUCAAAAGAGAAAUUCCAUGGAAAAGUUGAGCCAGAAUCAAUAAUCCAGAGGAUUAAUUGAGUGGCUGCCGUUAUUAAGCUCUGAAAACACGUAAUCUGGCGGAUGUACAGUAGUUCAUCCCAUCAUGGACGGCCACGUGACGACCACGGGCUUCACAGUCGGACCAAACACAUCUGUGCUGACGGAUCAAAGCUACUAAAUUACAGGAAGCCCCCCACAUCCCCUCACCCCCCCUUGUGGUUCAUGAUGCUUUUUUAUUUGUCUGAGGCAAAUUUAGGCUUUGGUUAAUAUUUCAAAGACAGUAACUGGAGAAAAAAACAGUCACGAUUAAUGAGGACAGACAGUGACAAGCACUUAAACAGCAAGAAAACAAAUUUAUAAUAUCAAUAUUGUUAUGGAUGAUUUAGGUGGAAAUAAUGAUAAAAAAAAAACAAUUUUUGUUCUCCUUCCAGUACCUCGGUGAUGACUAAAGACUAACUUCUAGGGACAGGAGCAAGAACAGGUAUUAAACAUUAACAUCACUGUGUCAUGAGUUGGUUUUAGGAACCAGUAGAGCCGCUGUGGUGUCAGGCCAUAGUGUUAACGUAUCUUGUGACCAGGUUUCAAAACCCACAGUAUCCCUUUCCUAAAGUGGUCAUGGGUACCCCUAUGGGGGGCACGAAGCAAUUGCGGGGACAGGGACAGCAUAACAGUUGUUUUGUCUUUGUUCAAUGAAAAUGUAAAUUAAAAAAACAAACAGAAAACGGUGUCCUUUCUACCAAAUG
Molecule: long non-coding RNA, 1073 nt
Organism: Cynoglossus semilaevis (tongue sole)
Lineage: Eukaryota; Metazoa; Chordata; Actinopteri; Pleuronectiformes; Cynoglossidae
Exons: 3
Source: RefSeq, a predicted model, not a curated record